Molecule: transfer RNA, 115 nt
Filed under: Ruminococcus sp.
Lineage: Bacteria; Bacillati; Bacillota; Clostridia; Eubacteriales; Oscillospiraceae
Also listed under: 1 other name
Description: tRNA-OTHER
Rfam family: tRNA
About the family: Transfer RNA (tRNA) molecules are approximately 80 nucleotides in length. Their secondary structure includes four short double-helical elements and three loops (D, anti-codon, and T loops). Further hydrogen bonds mediate the characteristic L-shaped molecular structure. tRNAs have two regions of fundamental functional importance: the anti-codon, which is responsible for specific mRNA codon recognition, and the 3' end, to which the tRNAs corresponding amino acid is attached (by aminoacyl-tRNA synthetases). tRNAs cope with the degeneracy of the genetic code in two manners: having more than one tRNA (with a specific anti-codon) for a particular amino acid; and 'wobble' base-pairing, i.e. permitting non-standard base-pairing at the 3rd anti-codon position.
Source: RNAcentral
GUACCGUUAGCUUAUUGGUAAAAGCCCUUGCUAUGGGAAAAUCCCGUCUUGAAAAACACGGUAACAGCAACGCCUCGGGGCGCAAGUGAAGCAGGUUCGAUUCCUGCACGGUACA